CCUUUUCCCCCCGUCACUGGACACCCUCCCGUUACGCCACUGAGAGAAAUAGCAACAGCUCUGAGUGUUGGACAUUAAUGUUAUUCCUUUUCUUUUUGUUUUUUUUUUUCUUUGACACUUGGUAUAUAAUAUGUAUUUUACUGGUUAUUUCACUCCUUAAAGACAGUUAUUAAAAGUAAAAUACGUAAACCACAACUCAAUCUCUUUCUGGCAACCAACUAUACGUCACUGUCUCCAGGACGACCAUCUUUUUAGUUCAUUCCUGAACCAUGAGUCCGCGACAGACGGUCUAGUAGUGGACAAAGAAAUUAUUUCCAUCGCCAACUUUUCAAAUAUAUUUCUAUAUAUUUUGAUAUGCAUAAUUAGAAAACAAUGUUAUCAUAUCAUUUUCAUAGUGGAUAGUUGUAUCAGGUCUAAACUACUCUUCCUAGAGAUCCAGUUUGACCAUCUCUGAAAUUAUGUGCCAAUGUGCGAUCUUAACAGUCCCAUGUAAAUAGCUCCUAUAAUUUCAUAUUUCGUCUGACACUACAGAGAACAACGCAUCUUCCUAGAGAUCCAGUUUGACCAUCUCUGAAAUUAUGUGCCAAUGUGCGAUCUUAACAGUCCCAUGUAAAUAGCUCCUAUAAUUUCAUAUUUCGUCUGACACUACAGAGAACAACGCAUCUUCCUAGAGAUCCAGUUUGACCAUCUCUGAAAUUAUGUGCCAAUGUGCGAUCUUAACAGUCCCAUGUAAAUAGCUCCUAUAAUUUCAUAUUUCGUCUGACACUACAGAGAACAACGCAUCUUCCUAGAGAUCCAGUUUGACCAUCUCUGAAAUUAUGUGCCAAUGUGCGAUCUUAACAGUCCCAUGUAAAUAGCUCCUAUAAUUUCAUAUUUCGUCUGACACUACAGAGAACAACGCAUCUUCCUAGAGAUCCAGUUUGACCAUCUCUGAAAUUAUGUGCCAAUGUGCGAUCUUAACAGUCCCAUGUAAAUAGCUCCUAUAAUUUCAUAUUUCGUCUGACACUACAGAGAACAACGCAUCUUCCUAGAGAUCCAGUUUGACCAUCUCUGAAAUUAUGUGCCAAUGUGCGAUCUUAACAGUCCCAUGUAAAUAGCUCCUAUAAUUUCAUAUUUCGUCUGACACUACAGAGAACAACGCAUCUUCCUAGAGAUCCAGUUUGACCAUCUCUGAAAUUAUG
Non-coding RNA from Paramuricea clavata, 1181 nucleotides. The record is from the annotation of a GenBank genome assembly. NCBI's taxonomy places the organism in Eukaryota, Metazoa, Cnidaria, Anthozoa, Malacalcyonacea, Plexauridae.